This 418-nucleotide ribosomal RNA is filed under the name Niallia circulans. RNAcentral's name for it is "bacterial SSU rRNA". It matches the Rfam family "Bacterial small subunit ribosomal RNA", at positions 434 to 846 of the family's 1533-position model. The record is from RNAcentral. Lineage: Bacteria; Bacillati; Bacillota; Bacilli; Caryophanales; Bacillaceae.
UGUUAUGGAAGAACAAGUACAAGAGUAACUGCUUGUACCUUGACGGUACCUAACCAGAAAGCCACGGCUAACUACGUGCCAGCAGCCGCGGUAAUACGUAGGUGGCAAGCGUUGUCCGGAAUUAUUGGGCGUAAAGCGCGCGCAGGCGGUCCUUUAAGUCUGAUGUGAAAGCCCACGGCUCAACCGUGGAGGGUCAUUGGAAACUGGGGGACUUGAGUGCAGAAGAGAAGAGUGGAAUUCCACGUGUAGCGGUGAAAUGCGUAGAGAUGUGGAGGAACACCAGUGGCGAAGGCGACUCUUUGGUCUGUAACUGACGCUGAGGCGCGAAAGCGUGGGGAGCAAACAGGAUUAGAUACCCUGGUAGUCCACGCCGUAAACGAUGAGUGCUAAGUGUUAGAGGGUUUCCGCCCUUUAGUGC